This 358-nucleotide long non-coding RNA is filed under the name Bos taurus (domestic cattle). RNAcentral describes it as "long non-coding RNA NONBTAT008336". The record is from RNAcentral. Lineage: Eukaryota; Metazoa; Chordata; Mammalia; Artiodactyla; Bovidae.
GAUAUCCCGGAAGUUCUGAAAGCCAGUAUUCCUAACUUAAUUACAAUGAAUAUCAAAAUUUAUCAACAUAAUUUUGAAAAUGAGGAUCCAUAGAAGUUAUAAAAAAUAGAUUUUUAAGGUAAUCUGUACUGACCUUCCUGAUGAAUAAAUUUUUGUGUGUGUGUGUAUGUCUAUAAUUUAUAUACGUGUAAACACGUGGCUACCCCUAUGUAUUGAAGCAUUUAUUUUUGCUUUUUAUUAAAAUUAUUUGGAGAAAGAAAAUAAUGGGUUUUGAGAGGAGUCACUUUAGAACAAUGUUAUAAGUACAGAAACUUCUGAAGGGCUGAAAUAAGACCAGUUCCAUUUCCUUCAGUCGGUA